Molecule: ribosomal RNA, 421 nt
Filed under: uncultured bacterium
Lineage: Bacteria
Description: partial 16S ribosomal RNA
Rfam family: Bacterial small subunit ribosomal RNA
Source: RNAcentral
AAUAUUGGUCAAUGGGCGAAAGCCUGACCCAGCCAUGCCGCGAGCGUGAAUAAGGUCUUCGGUGUGAAAGUCAAAUUAAGUUGGGAGGAAGGGCCGUAAGUUAAUACCUUGCUGUUUUGACGUUACCGACAGAAUAAGGACUGGCUAACUUCGUGCCAUCAGCCGCGGUAAGACGAAGGGUGCAAGCGUUGAUCGGAAUUACUGGGCGUAAAGCGAGCGUAGGUGGUUUAUUAAGUUGGAAGUAAAAGCCCCGGGCUCAACCUGGGAACUGCUUUCAAAACUGGCAAGCUUAAGGAUGGCAGAGGGAGGUGGAAUUUCCUGGGGAGCGGGGAAAGGCGUAAAUAUAGGAAGGAACACCAGUGGCGAAGGCGACCACCUGGGCUAAUACUGACACUGAGGUGCGAAAGCGUGGGGAGCAAAA